Amphiprion ocellaris (clown anemonefish) is the source of this 147-nucleotide small nucleolar RNA. The record is from Ensembl. Lineage: Eukaryota; Metazoa; Chordata; Actinopteri; Pomacentridae.
CUUCAGUGAUGAUACGAUGACGAGUCGGAAUGAUUCUGUCUGGUUCUGCUGCUCUCCGGUUCAGAUCCACGUUCUGUGGUUCUGCGCUGGUUCUUCAGAUCAGCAGAACUUUUCAGUUGAAGACACUGAGGCAUUUGUCUGAGAAGG